AGUGCUGGGUGGGUUUCGCACUUCCCGGGACCUGGGUCCAGCCAUUCGUAGGGACGGAGGCACUGAGGGAUUUGUAAACUUGUGAUCACCAGCAUUGAGCCCUGGGUCUCCUCUUCACUGUUUGGUAUUUAUAGGUCUGUCUCACCUCCAAGGAUUACAACAGAAACCCGCCAUGCCUCUGGGAACACCUGCCCCCCUAAACAAGCGGAAAAAGCCCUCCAAGAUCAUAACCGACCUAUCACAUAUCACUCAGGAUGAGUAUGAGUCCGAGCCAGAGGCGUCUGAGUUCGACCUGGGGACAAAGAUCAGGACUCCCAAAGACAUCAUGCUGGAGGAGCUUUCCCUGAUGAAGAACCGAGGCUCCAAGAUGUUCCGGAUGAGACAGCAGAGGGUGGAGAAGUUCAUCUACGAGAACAACCCCGACAUCUUCAGCAGUGAGUCAAUGGACAACCUUCAGAAGUUCGUUCCUUCCCUGGGGGGUCAGAUGGGAGGUCAGAUGAUAAAUGUUGGUGGGCAUUUUGUUAGCAAACAGAAUGUGCAUCUGUACUUUGGAGGGGCACAAGCAGGAGGAGCAGGGGGGCCCCCUGUGCCUCCUCCAAAGCCUGGAAGCAAAGGUGCAGGAGGUGCAGGAGGAGCAGGAGGAGCAGGAGGAGCAGGAGGUGCAGGAGGACUGCUGGCGGGUUUAACAGGAGAAGGAGGGAGUGAGUGGUCUCCACUAAAAGGAGGUGGAAAAGAUUCCGCAUCCAAGAAGCUGAUUGUUGUGAAGACGUACGUGUCGCCAUGGGAGAAGGCGAUGAAGGGUGACGAAGGCCUGAUAGCCACUCUGAAAACCGAAAUGCCUGCUCCCAUUAACCCAAAGGAUCUGCCCAAGUACAAGAGCUUCAACAGGACUGCCAUGCCCUUCGGCGGCUUUGAAAAGGCCAAUCAGUUCCUGAAAUUCCAGCUGCCAGAAACUGAGGCGACCAAAGAGGAGCCUGAACCUGCAGUGUACCAACAAGACAUUGGCUGCCGGCCUUCCUUCAACCGCACUCCCAUUGGCUGGGUGGGCAGCAGCGAGCCCAGCAGCAUUCACAUGGAGACGGAUGCCGUGCCCUUCGAUGGAGAGACCGACGAGCUGUGAAAACAUAUUCAUACUGUGAUUACACUGUGCACAUACACACACAAGCAUGACUGCAUGCAAACACGUUAGCAUACACACACACACACACACAAUAGAUGAGCUUACAAUUAACUGGUAAAGUGAUGGAAUCUGAUUCUCUCAGUGUGGAUAACUGAAAGUGUACAUGAAAUGUGGUCGUGUUCGUAUCUUGCUCUGUAUUUGGCUGUAAGGCAAAGAAACAAGCUGUAGAUGCUACGGGGAGAUGAAACAUCAAACGUUUAUUUGUCAAGUUCAUAAACUGAGUCUACGCACUCCUUUAGUUUGUCAGAAACGCUGUUGUUCUUGGUAAGAAGCUGCCGAUUUUUUUUUUUCAACGAGGAAAGAAUGGAUCAUGUAUGAAGAGAUAUUUGUGCUGUUGUGCAUGCUGUCUUAAUGUCAACUUAUUACCAUAUUUAUUACCCACUGCCUUUUUUGUUGUUGAGAUUAUCUGAUCAAUUGUUGAGCUAUUAAAACCCGACAAACCCUGUCUAAUUCAGAAUGCAUGCAUAGAGUCUGUUGCCGAUCCCUUAACCUACUGAACCAACACAGUUUCUCCACAAUAAACUGUACCACUCCACUUGUAGAGUGAUUAAAAUAUCAAAGAAAACUG
This is an RNA transcript of Stegastes partitus (bicolor damselfish), 1748 nucleotides long. It is a transcript of the gene named myozenin 1a, with no coding region annotated. Lineage: Eukaryota; Metazoa; Chordata; Actinopteri; Pomacentridae. The transcript is spliced from 7 exons. The record is from RefSeq and is a predicted model, not a curated record.